Molecule: ribosomal RNA, 497 nt
Filed under: uncultured bacterium
Lineage: Bacteria
Description: partial 16S ribosomal RNA
Rfam family: Bacterial small subunit ribosomal RNA
Source: RNAcentral
GAUGAACGCUGGCGGCGUGCCUAAUACAUGCAAGUCGAGCGAACAGACGAGGAGCUUGCUCCUCUGACGUUAGCGGCGGGCGGGUGAGUAACACGUGGAUAACCUACCUAUAAGACUGGGAUAACUUCGGGAAACCGGAGCUAAUACCGGAUAAUAUAUUGAACCGCAUGGUUCAAUAGUGAAAGACGGUUUUGCUGUCACUUAUAGAUGGAUCCGCGCCGCAUUAGCUAGUUGGUAAGGUAACGGCUUACCAAGGCAACGAUGCGUAGCCGACCUGAGAGGGUGAUCGGCCACACUGGAACUGAGACACGGUCCAGACUCCUACGGGAGGCAGCAGUAGGGAAUCUUCCGCAAUGGGCGAAAGCCUGACGGAGCAACGCCGCGUGAGUGAUGAAGGUCUUCGGAUCGUAAAACUCUGUUAUUAGGGAAGAACAAAUGUGUAAGUAACUAUGCACGCCUUGACGGUACCUAAUCAGAAAGCCACGGCUAACUACGUG